GUGCGCGCUCCUCGCUUUCGCGGCUGGGCGCCUCGCGCCUGUCCCGCCCGACUCGUGCCUCUUCUGAGCCGCAGCCCCAGCCCCAGCCCCAAUCUCAAUCUCUCCGGCCGGCAGAGGUUGGAAGACAGGAAGCCGAUUAGAAAGGAAGGUGAAGGAAACAAGAGUCAGACAGCGGAAAGUGGGAGCAAAGGGAGAAGAAAAUGAAGCUUCCUACUUCACGACAAAAAAAACGACUUUCAGAAGUACCAAUCUGCAACAGCUUGAAAAUUUGAAAACCUGAUCCUUCACCACAGGUGCUUUUGCUUGCAAGGUCAAAAUCAGAAGUUCAGGAAGAUCACCUGAAUCCAGAGCUUUUGAUUUCAGAAGCCUAGGUUCAUUGAGGAAAAGUAUGCUGACUUGUCCCAGAGGGUUAACAAGUGAAUGCUUUUGAGUAGAGGUGGGAGAAGCUGUCUGACAUAGAAGUUGAGCUUCUCCGGGACAAGAGAGGAGACGGGAGUAAUGGUAGAUUCCAUGAGCAUCAAGGACUACUUUUGCUGCCUUUUAGUGUGCUAAAGAAGAUACAAGAUCUCAAGAGAGAAUGGAGACAUGGUACACUUAAGAAAGUCUGAAUACUAGUCCGUGAGGAUGCCAGCUUCAGCCAAAACACCCUGCUAUCACCACCAAUGUGCAAGAGUGGCACAGAAGCAGCUACCCCGUCUAACUUUAAGGGGAUUUGCCUGACAAACAUAUCAACAAUGUUGGGUAUGCACAAAAGGGCAUAGGACCUACACUGAAAGUUGUGUUCUGGGUAUCAUUUGCUAGGGUCUUCAUACAACCUUGACAGAAGGAGGUAAAAACCAUGAGGGAGAUUGAAUUUUUAGCCAGCUGGAAAGGUGAAAGGCUCAGAGCAGAUUGAAUUUUGUUGUAGGGAUAUAAAGAAAUGUGACAUUUUUUGCCAGUUGUUAGAAUGGCGAUCAUUAAAAAGUCAGGAAACAACAGAUGCUGGAGAGGAUGUGGAGAAAUAGGGACGCUUUUAUG
RNAcentral lists this long non-coding RNA (1017 nucleotides) under Homo sapiens (human). RNAcentral describes it as "HSALNT0408428". Lineage: Eukaryota; Metazoa; Chordata; Mammalia; Primates; Hominidae. The record is from RNAcentral.